RNAcentral lists this non-coding RNA (21 nucleotides) under Caenorhabditis elegans. Lineage: Eukaryota; Metazoa; Nematoda; Chromadorea; Rhabditida; Rhabditidae. The record is from RNAcentral.
UCCUACGUUCAACAACAACAA